GGGCUCAUGGUGAAGAUGGUUUAUCACGCCUGCUUAGCAUGUCCGCAAUUGCAGGAGGUCUGGAGUUCAAGUCUCCAUGAGUCCA
Mycena vulgaris is the source of this 85-nucleotide non-coding RNA. NCBI's taxonomy places the organism in Eukaryota, Fungi, Basidiomycota, Agaricomycetes, Agaricales, Mycenaceae. The record is from the annotation of a GenBank genome assembly.